AUAGGGGGGAGGGGUGUCGUGCUGCUGAAACUCGAGUUGCCCAAAGGCUUGCUGGGCGCAAUGCCAGCAAGAUGCACGAUGCCUUGCCAUCCCCUAGGCACACUAGCAAGCCCGUUGUGGUUGUGGUGUGCCGUCGGGGUCCCCCGCCCCGGGUCCAAGGUCGAGCACGGGCGUCGGGCUGCUGCACACCCCAAUCACCAAAGGACCAAGAAGGGAAACACGUCCAUGCACGCCCCAUCUGGUCACCACCAAGGGAGCAUGGCGUGGUCGAGUUGUGCCUUGUGCACCCGCGGCGUGCUCGCCUUACGUCUAUGGUCGACGCAAGACGGUGCCCGACGCGGUGUUGG
This is a long non-coding RNA of Arachis duranensis, 347 nucleotides long. RefSeq lists it as uncharacterized. Lineage: Eukaryota; Viridiplantae; Streptophyta; Magnoliopsida; Fabales; Fabaceae. The transcript is spliced from 2 exons. The record is from RefSeq and is a predicted model, not a curated record.